This 877-nucleotide ribosomal RNA is filed under the name uncultured eukaryote. Its description in RNAcentral is "bacterial SSU rRNA". It matches the Rfam family "Eukaryotic small subunit ribosomal RNA", at positions 1034 to 1831 of the family's 1831-position model. The record is from RNAcentral.
AAACGAUGCCAACCAGCGAUUAGCCUGAGUUCCUUAAAUGACUCGGCUAGCAGCUUCCGGGAAACCAAAGUGUUUCGGUUCCGGGGGAAGUAUGGUUGCAAAGCUGAAACUUAAAGGAAUUGACGGAAGGGCACCACCAGGAGUGGAGCCUGCGGCUUAAUUUGACUCAACACGGGAAAACUUACCCGGCCCGGACACUGGAAGGAUUGACAGAUUGAGAGCUCUUUCUUGAUUCAGUGGGUGGUGGUGCAUGGCCGUUCUUAGUUGGUGGAGCGAUUUGUCUGGUUAAUUCCGAUAACGAACGAGACUCUAGCCUACUAAAUAGACUGUUCAGCUUUAUAGCCGGAAUCACUGGGCAUGUAGCUCUCCGCAAGGGGGGUUGCAUGUUCGGCUCUGGUGACGUUGGCAGUGCUUCUUAGAGGGACAGGCGGCGGUUCAGCCGCACGAAACAGAGCAAUAACAGGUCUGUGAUGCCCUUAGAUGUCCGGGGCUGCACGCGCGCUACACUGAAGUGAUCAGCGUGCAAUUUACGUUUGGUGAUCUGUCAAGAUUGCCCAACCCGUUGAACCUUCUUCGUGAUUGGGAUAGGGGAUUGUAAUUAUUCCCCUUGAACGAGGAAUUCCCAGUAAGCGCAAGUCAUAAGCUUGCGUUGAUUACGUCCCUGCCCUUUGUACACACCGCCCGUCGCUACUACUGAUUGAAUGAAUUAGUGAGGUCUUCGGACUGGCCUGUGCUGGCUGUUUCGGCAGCUGCACAUGGCUCGGAGAUGCCCAAACUGUCAUUUAGAGAGUAAGUCGUACAGUUUUCGUAGUGACUGCCGAAGAUCAAGCCGAUCGCGCGCUAGUCAUUCGCUAUAUGACGUCGUCGUGGGGUGCUU